UACAGAGGGUGCAAGCGUUGUUCGGAAUUAUUGGGCGUAAAGCGCGUGUAGGCGGCCAUCUAAGUCUGGUGUGAAAUCCCUCGGCCCAACUGAGGAAGUGCAUUGGAUACUGGAUGGCUAGAGGAUGAGAGAGGAGAGUGGAAUUCCCGGUGUAGGGGUGAAAUCCGUAGAUAUCGGGAGGAACACCAGAGGCGAAGGCGGCUCUCUGGCUCAUUUCUGACGCUGAGACGCGAAAGCGUGGGGAGCAAACAGG
RNAcentral lists this ribosomal RNA (253 nucleotides) under uncultured bacterium. Its description in RNAcentral is "partial 16S ribosomal RNA". It matches the Rfam family "Bacterial small subunit ribosomal RNA", at positions 524 to 776 of the family's 1533-position model. The record is from RNAcentral.